UCUAUUACGAGUAGAGGCUCGUUUUUUUCGAAAACAAGAGUUGAAACUGGCGGUACACACAUAUUGCCAACGCUGACUCGUGAACCUGGAAUUGAAGAUUUGGUAGAUGUGCACGUGAUGACGUCAUCAACAUGGCUGACGGGCUCUCGCGUAUGUAUCCCAUUAAAUCAAGUAUAACUUCUCAAAGGCACAGAUGGUUCAUAAAUCAUUGUACUGCAGCACUUUGCCAUCACUGAAAAUGAAUAUGAUCCCGUGGAAUGACUUGGCCGAAAUUUCGGAAAAUUCUGCGCUGCAAUACAAGUACGAAAUGAUUCCUAACAACAAAACUGCAGAACAGAAUCCUAGGAUUCUCUUUGAAUACAUUGUAAGUUAUAUGGGAGCUCACUAAAGUUUUCCUUAUAUAUAAAUUCUGUUCAUAUUACCUCUCCAUUAACAAAAAAUAUUACCUAGGGGAGAGCCAUGGAUCUCUCCCAUGACUUAAUUCCUAAACCUACAAUACCUGUCAAGUCAACGAUGGGUGUAGCAUUUAUUCUCCUGAAACGAGUUGUCUUCGAAGCCCUGCUGUGCACCAUAUCCCAUUAACAAAG
This is a long non-coding RNA of Penaeus monodon (black tiger shrimp), 587 nucleotides long. RefSeq lists it as uncharacterized. The record is from RefSeq and is a predicted model, not a curated record. The transcript has 3 exons. NCBI's taxonomy places the organism in Eukaryota, Metazoa, Arthropoda, Malacostraca, Decapoda, Penaeidae.